Mytilus californianus (California mussel) is the source of this 483-nucleotide long non-coding RNA. RefSeq lists it as uncharacterized. NCBI's taxonomy places the organism in Eukaryota, Metazoa, Mollusca, Bivalvia, Mytilida, Mytilidae. The record is from RefSeq and is a predicted model, not a curated record. The transcript is spliced from 6 exons.
AUAGUUACAAGCAGUUAAUGACGGCAAAUCCAUAGCACACGAAAAGAACUUAUGAGAGCUCAUACACCUAGUAAUACGUGUUGUGAAGGUGAUGUUGUACGUGUUGUAUUGUUGAGCAGUAAGUUAUGUUACAUAAUGAAUCGUAGAAGUUUUUAUUUCAGCAACCACAAAAAGACACAAUGAAGUAUACGGUGUUGAUGGUGCUUCUUCUAAUUAUAAUAACAGAUAUUGUGUGUUCUCAACAAUUUUGUAUUUGUAUUGCGAUUUUUGAUCCAGUGUGUUCCACAUUUGGUGUGACUUUCAGUAAUCAAUGUCGAUUGGAAUGUGCUGGUCAAUUUCUUGCCUGCCGUGGGGAAUGCCCAUGUAUGUUUUAACAUCUAUGAGACAAAGCAUGUUCAGCUCCAAGUGAUACUGGAACAUAUCUGAAAUCUAUCAAAAACAAUAAAUAAAAUCAGUUAACAUUAUAUAGCUUUCCCAAGACAA